GCCACAGAGAGAAGUGAAGAGAGGCAGGAGAGUCACAGGUGUGCUGUCGGUGAGCUUUGGGAGAGCGGUGGCUGCAGGCUGGUGGGUGGAACCAGGCAGACUGUGGACGGUCCUGUGCCUGGCGGAUGAGUCCUGUGCCUGGGUCUGGUGGAUCUAGAACGGGGCAAGAUGGAGCAGCAGACAAAGAGGCAUUGGGGACCUGGAGCCUGGGUCCAGGCCCGAGACUGAAGGACUUGACCUCCUGUGCCCUCCUCUGGCUGAAGGAUUUGAUGAUCUCUCUGGAACCUAUUUCUGGAUCACUUCCAAGAAGAGGCAGCCAUCAACGGGCUGGACAUAAGGAAGACCAGUGGCUGCUGAGGAGGCCUGGGGGAGAGACGUGUCCACUUCCGGUGCUCCGUUCUGGAUGGUCGCUCACCAAGUCAGCGAGAUCCCUCUCAGGGAAUUUUGAAUGAGAGAUGGGGAGAAAGAAAAACUCAACGAGAUGCAAAAGCAAUAGACGCAGAGGAGGAGAGGAGGAGGCAGAGAGAGGCUGGCAAGACGGAGAGGUUGAUGCAUGUGCAGCUCGCAUCCUGGGGCAGAACCUGGAUCAAGAUGGCUGUCACCAGAGCAGCUGGAGGGGCCACAGCACAGUCAGGGUUGUACCCUGCACAGCCCUCCACCAAGGGCUGCUUUCCUGAACAUCCUUCCCAGUGUCACUUGAUGUAACCUGAAUGAGUCUAAUAAACUUGAAAAAACC
RNAcentral lists this long non-coding RNA (736 nucleotides) under Sus scrofa (pig). RNAcentral describes it as "lncRNA (ENSSSCG00015006490.1)". The record is from RNAcentral. Lineage: Eukaryota; Metazoa; Chordata; Mammalia; Artiodactyla; Suidae.